AGAGUUUGAUCAUGGCUCAGAUUGAACGCUGGCGGCAGGCUUAACACAUGCAAGUCGAGCGGAGCGAGGGUGCUUGCACCUUAGCUUAGCGGCGGACGGGUGAGUAAUGCUUAGGAAUCUGCCUAUUAGUGGGGGACAACGUUUCGAAAGGAACGCUAAUACCGCAUACGUCCUACGGGAGAAAGCAGGGGAUCUUCGGACCUUGCGCUAAUAGAUGAGCCUAAGUCGGAUUAGCUAGUUGGUGGGGUAAAGGCCUACCAAGGCGACGAUCUGUAGCGGGUCUGAGAGGAUGAUCCGCCACACUGGGACUGAGACACGGCCCAGACUCCUACGGGAGGCAGCAGUGGGGAAUAUUGGACAAUGGGGGGAACCCUGAUCCAGCCAUGCCGCGUGUGUGAAGAAGGCCUUUUGGUUGUAAAGCACUUUAAGCGAGGAGGAGGCUACUUGGAUUAAUACUCUAGGAUAGUGGACGUUACUCGCAGAAUAAGCACCGGCUAACUCUGUGCCAGCAGCCGCGGUAAUACAGAGGGUGCGAGCGUUAAUCGGAUUUACUGGGCGUAAAGCGUGCGUAGGCGGCUUUUUAAGUCGGAUGUGAAAUCCCCGAGCUUAACUUGGGAAUUGCAUUCGAUACUGGGAAGCUAGAGUAUGGGAGAGGAUGGUAGAAUUCCAGGUGUAGCGGUGAAAUGCGUAGAGAUCUGGA
This 700-nucleotide ribosomal RNA is filed under the name uncultured bacterium. RNAcentral describes it as "bacterial SSU rRNA". It matches the Rfam family "Bacterial small subunit ribosomal RNA", at positions 8 to 702 of the family's 1533-position model. The record is from RNAcentral.